UGGGGAAUUUUGGACAAUGGGCGAAAGCCUGAUCCAGCCAUGCCGCGUGAGUGAAGAAGGCCUUCGGGUUGUAAAGCUCUUUUAGUCGGAAAGAAAGAGUUGCAAUGAAUAAUUGUGAUUUAUGACGGUACCGACAGAAAAAGCACCGGCUAACUACGUGCCAGCAGCCGCGGUAAUACGUAGGGUGCGAGCGUUAAUCGGAAUUACUGGGCGUAAAGGGGGCGCAGGCGGUCUUACAAGUCAGAUGUGAAAGCCCCGGGCUUAACCUGGGAAUUGCGUUUGAAACUACAAGGCUAGAGUGCAGCAGAGGGGAGUGGAAUUCCAUGUGUAGCAGUGAAAUGCGUAGAGAUGUGGAAGAACACCGAUGGCGAAGGCAGCUCCCUGGGUUGACACUGACGCUCAUGCACGAAAGCGUGGGGAGCAAACA
Molecule: ribosomal RNA, 427 nt
Filed under: uncultured beta proteobacterium
Lineage: Bacteria; Pseudomonadati; Pseudomonadota; Betaproteobacteria
Description: bacterial SSU rRNA
Rfam family: Bacterial small subunit ribosomal RNA
Source: RNAcentral